UACGAAGGGGGCUAGCGUUGUUCGGAAUUACUGGGCGUAAAGCGCACGUAGGCGGACUGCUAAGUCAGGGGUGAAAUCCCGGGGCUCAACCUCGGAACUGCCUUUGAUACUGACAGUCUUGAGCCCGGAAGAGGUGGGUGGAAUUCCUAGUGUAGAGGUGAAAUUCGUAGAUAUUAGGAAGAACACCAGUGGCGAAGGCGGCCCACUGGUCCGGUGCUGACGCUGAGGUGCGAAAGCGUGGGGAGCAAAC
This 250-nucleotide ribosomal RNA is filed under the name uncultured bacterium. RNAcentral's name for it is "partial 16S ribosomal RNA". It matches the Rfam family "Bacterial small subunit ribosomal RNA", at positions 524 to 773 of the family's 1533-position model. The record is from RNAcentral.